GGUUGUGGCUUAGUGGUAGAGCACUUGCCUUGCACGCAUAAACUCCUGGGUUCAAUCCUCAGCACCA
Molecule: transfer RNA, 67 nt
Filed under: Marmota monax (woodchuck)
Lineage: Eukaryota; Metazoa; Chordata; Mammalia; Rodentia; Sciuridae
Rfam family: tRNA
About the family: Transfer RNA (tRNA) molecules are approximately 80 nucleotides in length.
Source: Rfam by way of RNAcentral